AAAAAUUUAGUUAAUAUAUAACAUUAACUUGUCAAGUUAAAAUAAUUAAUUAUAAUAAUUUUUA
RNAcentral lists this transfer RNA (64 nucleotides) under Luciola curtithorax. RNAcentral's name for it is "tRNA-Asp". The record is from RNAcentral. Lineage: Eukaryota; Metazoa; Arthropoda; Insecta; Coleoptera; Lampyridae.